This 253-nucleotide ribosomal RNA is filed under the name uncultured bacterium. Its description in RNAcentral is "partial 16S ribosomal RNA". It matches the Rfam family "Bacterial small subunit ribosomal RNA", at positions 524 to 776 of the family's 1533-position model. The record is from RNAcentral.
GACAGAGGGUGCAAGCGUUGUUCGGAAUUAUUGGGCGUAAAGGGCGCGUAGGUGGCUACGUAAGUCGAAUGUGAAAUCCUGGAGCUCAACUCCAGAACUGCCUUCGAUACUGGCGAUCUUGAGUCUGGGAGAGGUGAGUGGAACUCCGAGUGUAGAGGUGAAAUUCGUAGAUAUUCGGAAGAACACCAGUGGCGAAGGCGGCUCACUGGCCCGGUACUGACGCUGAGGUGCGAAAGCGUGGGGAGCAAACAGG